Apis laboriosa (Himalayan honeybee) is the source of this 2279-nucleotide long non-coding RNA. RefSeq lists it as uncharacterized. The transcript is spliced from 3 exons. Lineage: Eukaryota; Metazoa; Arthropoda; Insecta; Hymenoptera; Apidae. The record is from RefSeq and is a predicted model, not a curated record.
UCUAAUUAAGUGCGACGAAGUAAACGUCGAUGUGCUGUGAAAAUACUUUAAACUGUGUCAUAUUGAAGACAAACUCCAAGUUUAACUCGCUAAAGUGGAAAACUAGAGGUUCCAAGUGGCUGACACGACAUUCGAGACGAAGUUGAAAGCGUCGUCAACGAGCCCCGACGUAACCGAGAUAUAUACAAGCCGACUUUAACAGUACGAACGAUAUAAACAAUCCCCACCACGUGUCUCCUUGAAUAAUCUCCGAAUAUACCAGUCUUAAUUCGACUUCGAGCGCGAUAACAUCGAGCUCCGAACCAAAACAAAUUGAGAAACUGCGACGAAUCUCGAGGAUCUCUUCUCGAAGAAGGACAGCCUCGGAGAUUCGAGAUAUUUUUCGAAAGUCAUCGUCGCAUCACGCGUCUUGAAUCAUCGAGUUAUUCUGUUAUUAAGUGGCCAUUCUACGACCCUCCUCUCGCAUACCUUAUUAGGACUGAUUACACCAUAACGGCCGUCAACUCAAUUCCCAGCUGUGAUCUUCGUCGCUUCGAAAUUCUGACGACUCGUAAAGAAAAAAAAAAAAAAAAAAAAAAAAAGAAAAGAAAAGAGAGAGAAGAAAGUGCAGCGUAACAGGCAGAAUAGAAGGGAGGGGAAGGGUGGAUCUUAUCGUGUUUUCGAACGAAAGGUGUGAAACGUUUGUCCCAUGGAAGGUGUCAUCCAUGUUCCGUGUAUGUUGGAAGCCGGAUUAUCGGGGCACCGUUUAACCGAUUAUCCGUGCCUCAUUUAUCUGAAUGCCUCGAAAAACGUGUUUAUGUGUGCGAUAGGGAUGGAGGAGAUGGCUGCUUCUUCUCGAAAGGUAAGAGCUUCGGAUUGAGAUUCGGGUUUUUUCAUUGGCGUGGUGUUGAAAAUGCACGUGGUGUUCGGUAUUCGAAAUCAUUUCGACUCUUAUUGAGUAAUUUUUUCAGAUUCAGCUAUCUUAAGAUUUAAAAAAAUUUUUCACAUUUGCUAACUUUUAAUAAAUCUGGCGAAUUAUCUUUAACUUAAAUUAACGAAGAAUUUUUAUUUUUUCGAAAGAUUUAAAUUAGAUUAUUUUUCAGAUCUAAAAAUAGUACAUUAUCACAUUCACGAAUUAAAUUACGAGGCGAGACUGUAAAAUUGAUCGCGUUAUUUAAAUUAUAUUACAAAACGUACAUAACGUGUAUACAUUUCCAAAACAAUUUGUGUUACUCGUUAUAUACGCGAAUAUAUUAGUUAUACACGCUAGUUAUUCGUUACAUUAGCAGGAUGCGAAACGGUAAAUAACUCCAUGGGAAUAAUUACAAUAAAAGGGAAACGAGUACACAAACUGAAUCCUCAAGAGGAUCGUACAAUUACAAAAUGCAUUCGACGUAACGCAGUGUGUAAAACGCUCUUUAUUCUCGAGCCUCCCGCUGCGGAUCGGGUCCAUCGAGACCGCAUUAAUCUUCCCUUGAAUAACAAGUUUUUGCGCGGUUUUAAACGUGUAACAAUUCUCAUCAAUCCCUCGAAAAAGUUCCCGUGAAAAAUUCGCAAUCUCAUCCCGCUCUCGGUGACUAUGAACGAUCGAAUCGAAUGGAAAUACUUGCUCGAUAUAAGGGGCCUUCCUUCGAGGAGGGGAGAAAAUAAUCGAAACGAGCACGUUGUUAUCGCGUUUAAUUCGGUGAAAGCAUUUUCCUCGAUCGAUUGUACGAUAAAUAUUACGGUAAAUAUUAAGUAGGCCUCGGGUGACGCAAUGAAAGUUCGGAGAUAAAAAAAAUUCGAUAGCAACUCUCGAAUCUGUUCAACGUGUUUCGAAGAGGGGUGCACGGGAGAGGAAAAAAUCGAUAUUGAAUAUAAAUAGGAGAUAUGUCGCGAUUUUAAUAACGGGUGCCAAUUUUAAUGUUAGGUUUCAUUAAAUAAUUGUCAAAAUUUUUAGAUUAAACUUAUUUUUAUUAAGAUUAGAUUUUUAGGGGAUGUAUUAUUAUGCUUCAACACGAGCAAAAUUUCAAUCACCCUGAUCGAACGAUAAUUCAUUUAACGCGUAUCGAUAUAUUCACACGAAUGCUAAUGCAUUAUGAUUAGACAUCUGUCAAUAUUUUUUUCGCCCUUCCAAACGAUCGCAUUGAAUAUUUGAAUAUUUCGGGAGGGGUUGACCGAAAUUAGGUCGUAUUUCACGCGGAAAUAAUUUGGUUAAUAAUUAGAAAACGACGGCCAUGAUUCGAUUUUACUUUAAUACACCAAUGAUGAUUGGUUUUAAUAUUCAAUCGGGACACGAAUCAAAAGGGUCCAUUUUUUUU